This is a long non-coding RNA of Ctenopharyngodon idella (grass carp), 1752 nucleotides long. RefSeq lists it as uncharacterized. The transcript has 5 exons. NCBI's taxonomy places the organism in Eukaryota, Metazoa, Chordata, Actinopteri, Cypriniformes, Xenocyprididae. The record is from RefSeq and is a predicted model, not a curated record.
ACUUCCUGAUGUAACUGAAUAUUUUCACUGAGAAGAAGUCACAUGUUCACACUGCUCGAGUGAGCUCCAGAUGAGACAUCAACAGGAGGCACAAACUGAUGAAUAUUCAUCAGGAUGUGGGUUUUCAUUGUGUUUUUCAUCAGUGUUAAAGUUUCAGAUUUCGUGAAUGGUAAUCAGGAAGAGGUAAAGACCUUGAAGGAGGGAGGCGUUCUGACUCUACAUACAGGAGCUCAACUGAACAGAGACUCUGAGACAACAUGGCUUUUUAAAAGUGACAGCCAAACCACCCGUAUAGCACAGAUAAAUAAUGGAAAGGUUUUUACCAGUUUUGAAGAGAGACUUACUGGCAGAUUGCAUCUUGAUCAAGAGAGUGGAUCAUUGACCAUUUGGAAUAUCAGUACCAGUGAUUCUGGACUUUAUGAAGUAUCAUUCACCAUCAUGUUAUCCAUCUCUGAGAAGAAGUUCAAAGUUAAUGUAUAUGCACCUGUCUCAGUACCUGCUAUUGAGUGCAACUCAUUGGUUACUGCGCACCAAUCUUCAGGUACUUUGAAGCAGCCACAAGCAGUAGAAGAUUUCUGCUCUGUGCUCUGCUCUGUGAGAAAUGAUCGAGACGUGUUCAUCUCGUGGUAUAAAGGGAGUGAAAUGGUGAAUCAGACCAGCAAUCCUGAUCUCAGCAUCAAACUCAGUUUACCAUUAGAGCUUCAUUAUAAUGAUUCAGAGAUCUACAGCUGCACGGCUGCAAAUCCAGUGAGCAACAAGAGCGUCAGUCUUCAUAUGAAAGAGAUCUGCCAACGAUGUAAAGAUUGUCUGGAUCACUGUGGCGUCACUGAGUCUCUGAUUCGACUGGUUCUGUCUGGUCUGGUGGGAAUCGCCACUGUUUUCUUUGUGGUUGAACAUGUGAGGAUCUCCUCAUCUCAGAGAAGAGCUGCUGCUUCUGUGUGAUGAUGAUACUUUCAUGAGAGUUUGCAGGGUGUAACUUUUACAUUGAAGGAGGUUUGCAGGGUAAAGAGUUGAGGUGUAAAGCACCUCAUUUAUUACUUUGGAUAAAGGUAGCCUGUCUGCUAAAAUGAUAUGUAGUAGGCUAAGUGUGACCAGUAUGCUUUGCAGGUUACAUAAAAUGCACACAAACUUUUAUGUAUACUAACCUAAAUAUAUUUAUGUGUGAGUAUGAAUUUUUAAUUUGUAUGUUUGGCGGUUUGACUGUUAUAAUCAUUAAUCAUGUAUUAAAGUUUUGACUAAAACUUUAAUAGCCUAAUUUUGUUUAGUGUUUCAGAGUAAAAGCGCUAUUAAAAUAGCAUUAGCAGACAGCACGAAGAUCCCAGCUUUUUUUUAAUCAAGUAUGGUUUGAAGUUAAAAGUUUUUACCCUUGUCAAUGUUUUAUUAAUUAAAUGUCUAUUAAAGUUUCCUCAAUUUCAUUAUUCAGAUAAAAGAUUGUCAAGAACGCUGCUUGAAUCGAGGCGCACGUUCAAGCUCAAACCGGUGCGCAACGUUUUGCUACAGUUUCCGGGUUGAACGACGUGUUUCCUGGAAAUGGUGUGCAACGGGUUUGAGAUACGUUUUCUCUUGUUUGGUGGGUGUGUCAUAAAUAUCAGCCCAAUCAGCGGCAAGAUGUAUAUAAACCACGCGGUAUUAAAGAGACAGCUCGCACAAUGGGUCCAAGUAAUGUCUUUUACAACUGUGUUUUUAUCCUAUUUUAGACUCUUAUCCUGGAUGGCAAGGGCAGCGACUGUAACAUAUUUUUCAGCAUUAAAC